AGUGAACGCUGGCGGUAGGCCUAACACAUGCAAGUCGAACGGCAGCACAGUAAGAGCUUGCUCUUACGGGUGGCGAGUGGCGGACGGGUGAGGAAUACAUCGGAAUCUACUUUUUCGUGGGGGAUCACGUAGGGAAACUUACGCUAAUACCGCAUACGCCCUACGGGUGAAAGCAGGGGAUCUUCGGACCUUGCGCGAUUGAAUGAGCCGAUGUCGGAUUAGCUAGUUGGCGGGGUAAAGGCCCACCAAGGCGACGAUCCGUAGCUGGUCUGAGAGGAUGAUCAGCCACACUGGAACUGAGACACGGUCCAGACUCCUACGGGAGGCAGCAGUGGGGAAUAUUGGACAAUGGGCGCAAGCCUGAUCCAGCCAUACCGCGUGGGUGAAGAAGGCCUUCGGGUUGUAAAGCCCUUUUGUUGGGAAAGAAAAGCAGCAGGUUAAUACCCCGCUGUUCUGACGGUACCCAAAGAAUAAGCACCGGCUAACUUCGUG
RNAcentral lists this ribosomal RNA (492 nucleotides) under uncultured bacterium. RNAcentral describes it as "partial 16S ribosomal RNA". It matches the Rfam family "Bacterial small subunit ribosomal RNA", at positions 29 to 507 of the family's 1533-position model. The record is from RNAcentral.